Molecule: non-coding RNA, 3759 nt
Organism: Chlorocebus sabaeus (green monkey)
Lineage: Eukaryota; Metazoa; Chordata; Mammalia; Primates; Cercopithecidae
Source: RefSeq, a predicted model, not a curated record
GACAAUGCACCUAGUUACCCACGAGCUCUGACUGGAGGUGUACAAGGAGACUAACAUUGUUUUAAUGGGUGGUAAUGAGGGAAGAGAGAGUCCUUCUCACAUUGUUUUAUAUUGUGUUACACUCAGUACCUGUUCUACAAAAAAAACAAGGAAGUGAAACCAAAGGCAGGCAGCCAGGCGCCAGGCACCAGACCCAAAACCAGACCUGAAACCAGGCCUAGGCCUGCCUGGCCUAAACCUAGUAGUUAAAAAUCAACUCAUGACUUAGAAACCAAUGUUAUCCAUAGAUUCCAGAGAUUGUACAGAAAAACACUGUGAAACUCCCUGCUCUGUUCUGUUUCACUCUGACUACCAGUGCAUGAAACCCUUGUCACAUGUCCCCUAGAUUGCUCAAUCAAUCACGACCCUUUCAUGUGAAAUCUUUAGUGCUGUGAGCCCUUAAAAAGGACAGAGAUUGUGCACUCGGGGAGCUCGGAUUUUAAGACUGUAGCUUGCUGAUGCUCCCAGCUGAAUAAAGCCCUUCCUUCUACAACUCUGAGGGGUUUUGUCUGCGGCUCAUCCUGCUACAUUUCUUGGUUCCCUGACCGGGAAGCAAGGUGACUGAUGGAUGGCCGAGGCAGCCGCUUAGGCGGCUUAGGCCUGCCCUGUGGAGCAUCCCUGCGGGGGACUCUGGCCAGCCUGAGUGACGCCAUCCAAAGAGCACUCCUGGGUAGGCAAUUGUCCCGGUGGAACGCCUCGCCAGAGCAGCAGGUAGCAGGCCCCCGCGGAGGAUUAAUACAGUGGCUGAACACCGGGGAAGGAACCGGCACUUAGAGUCUGGACGUCUGAAACUUGGUCACUGUGUGUGGAUCAAGGACUAGAACAUGGCUCCUUUGCGGCCACAGUGAAGAGGACCCCAGACCGUCAUCCUGACCACUCCCACAGCUGUGAAGGUGGAAAGAAGCCCAGCCUGGAUUCACCACAGCCGCGUGAAGCCUGCAGCAGCUGAGACCUAAGAGGCCAAACUAAGCCUAGACAAGCCUGCAAAGUGACCCUGAGGAAAAUGACAAGCCCUGCUCCAGUCACACCUGGAAGGUGACUGGUCUACACACGGCCGAAGCAUGAGGAGAAUCGUCAUAGGACUUAUUUUCCUUAUAACAUGGACUUGUGUGGUAAAAGCAUCUACUGCUUCUUCCCACACAGAGGACUGCCUUCAGUGCAUACAUCAGGUCACUGAGGUAGGAAAACAAGCUAAGACAAUCUUUUUGUUUUAUAGUUAUUACGAAUGCCUAGGAAUUCUAAAAGGAACCUGUUCGUAUAAUAACACUCAGUACAAAGUGUGUAAUCCAGAAGUGACCAGCCCGAUAUGUGCCAUGACCCCUCUGAACCCCCCCAUGAUCACAGUCUUUGAAGUAAGACUACGGACUGGUCCUUUUCUAGGUGACACUAAUAAGGUAUUAGCUAGAACAGAAGAAAGAGAGGUCCGCAAAAAUGUAACCUUAAAAUUUGACGCUUGUGCUGCUAUUAAUAGUAAGCAGCAAGGAAUAAGAUGCAGUUCUCUAGAUUAGAAAAAAAAAGUUACAUAGCAGAAAAUAAGUAUAUCUGUCAAGAAUCAUAUUAAUGUAAGAUGUGUCAAUACUGGUCUUGUGUCAUUUAGGCUACUGUACUGAGAAAGAAGAUAAAAAAGAUCCUGUUUGGCUCUGAAAAAGAAAAGUCAGCCCCUACUGCAUGAGUAGGAUCUGCAACCCUUUAGAGUUAGUAAUCACAACCCCUCAGACCCAAAAGAGAAUAAAAGAAAACACGUAUCAUUAGGCAUUGAUAGGAAAAGACUCAAUCCUAGCGUAAGCAUCCUAAUAAAAGGAGAAGUUCUUUUUAUUUAAGGAAAGUAUGUCAGUACUUUAAGGAAAGUAUGUCAGGAGUCAGGAUUAAAAUAGAUACAAGUCCUUCCUAUGGUAUUGUUUAAAAUUAGGUGUACCCCCUCUAAGAAAACAAGAUACUGGUUCUGGAGAACCCGUAUUUCAGACUUUCUAUGACAAACUAAAUGUGCCAGUACCUGAGAGUCCAGGAAAAACUAAAAAUUUGUUUUUGCAAUUAGCUGAACUAAUGUAGCCCAGUCUCUAAAAGUCACUUCAUGUUAUGUUUGUGGAGGAACCAUACAGGAGAUCAAUGGCGAUAGGAAGCCCGAGAGUUAGUUCCUACAGACCCAGUUCCUAAUAAAUUCCUGGCCCAAAAGAACUACCCUGACAAUUUUUAGGUUCUAAAGGUCUCAAUUAUUAGACAGUAUUGCAUAGCUAGAGAAGGAAAAAGAUUCACUCAUCCUGCAGGGCUGUAGGACGGCUUAGUUGUCUUAGGCAAAAGCUGUAUAAUAGUACCACAAAAACAGUUAAUAGUGGAGUUUCAAUUACACAGAAAGAAAUCCAUUCAGUAAAUGUCCAAAGUUGCAGACUGUUUAGGCCCGCUCAGAAUUCCACCAGGACUAGACUGUCCCUACCGGAUUAUACUGAAUAUGUGGACAUAGAGCUUAAACUAAGCUGCUGGAUCAGUAGACAGGUAGCUGUGAAAUUGGCACCAUUAAACCAUCUUUCUUCUUACUUCCCAUAAAAACAGGCAAACUCCUAGGCUUCCCAGUCUAUGCUUCCCACAAAAAACAAAGCAUAGCCAUAGGUGAUUGGAAAGAUGAUGAAUGGCCCCCUGAAAGAAUCAUACAAUACUAUGGACCCGCCACUUAGGCACAAGAUAGCUCGUGAGGAUAUGGGACCCCCAUCUACGUGCUCAACUGAAUCAUACGGUUACAAGCUGUUUCAGAAAUUAUGACUAAUAAAACCGGUCAAGCCUUGACUGUUCUUGCCCAGCAAGAGACUCAGAUGAGAAAUGCUAUCUAUCAAAAUAUACUAGCUCUUGACUACUUGCUAGCAGCUGAAGGAGGAGUUUGUAGAAAAUGUAACCUUACUAAUUGUUGUCUACACAUAGAUGAUCAGAGGCAAGUAGUUGAAGAUAUAAAGAUAUAACAAAAUUGGCACAUGUACCCAUGCAAGUGUGGCACGGAUUUAAUCCAGGAGCCAUGUUAAGAAAUUGGUUCCCAUCAACAGGAGGAUUUAAAACCGUUAUAAUAGAAGUAAAAAUAGUAAUAAGAACCUGCUUACUGCCCCCUUGUUUUCUACCUGUACUUCUCCAAAUGAUAAAAAGCUUCAUCGCUACCUUAGUUCACCAGAAUGCUUCAGCACAAGCAUACUGUAUGAAUCACUAUCAAUCUAUUGCACAGGAAGACAUAAACAGUGAAAAUGAAAGUGAGAAUUCCCACUACUAAAAUGAGUGAAAGUCUCAAAGGGGGGAAAUGAGGGAAGAGAGAGACCUUCUCACAUUGUUUUAUAUUGUGUUAUACUCAGUACCUGUUCUACAAAAAAAACAAGGAAGUGAAACCAAAGGCAGGCAGCCUGACACCAGGCACCAGACCCGAAACCAGGACUGGGCCUGCCUGGCCUAAACCUAGUAGUUAAAAAUCAACUUAUAACUUAGAAACCAAUGUUAUCCAUGGAUUACAGACAUUGUAUAGAAAAACACUGUGAAACUUCCUGCUCUGUUCUGUAUCACUCUGACUACCAGUGCAUGAAACCCCUGUCACGUAUCCCCUAGAUUGCUCAAUCAAUCACGACCCUUUCAUGUGAAAUCUUUAGUGCUGUGAGCCCUUAAAAAGGACAGAGAUUGUGCACUUGGGGAGCUCGGAUUUUAAUACCGUAGCUUGCCGAUGCUCACAGCUGAAUAAAGCCCUUCCUUCUACAA